GCGGAGAGGGGGAGCCGUGGUUCACUCCGCACUGACCUUGCCGCCGCCUGUUCCGGGUAAGAGUUAAGAUCUAGCAGUCGCGGCCGCUUCUGGUUCGCUUGGUGCAGGUCGGGAACGCGUCGCCGUCUGCCGGUGGGCGAGCUGCUUCCCGCCUUGCAUCAACUGAAUCGGAAGCGAGAGCGACGAUCUCCGUUUCGUCCUGGUUCUUCCCCCGCCGAUCUCGAUGACUGGAGCAUAGAGAGGAUUUGAAAUAGGUCUGUAGACGCUAAAUGAGGGUUCGCAGUCCUGGUAAGUAGUUGAUAAAAUCUUAUUUAUUUAUGUAUUAUGGAAUUAACACUAAAAUUUGAUGUAAAAAGGCUACGGCUUAUUCUUUUUCAUGAAUGGCUUGUUAUGUGAGGCAACAUCCACGCUUAUUUACACAUAAACAUAUUGUUCAGUUGUAAGAGGAUUUAGUGUUUAACCGUAUUUUUUCGCUGAUCUAAUAGACUAUUUGUAA
Molecule: long non-coding RNA, 496 nt
Organism: Zingiber officinale
Lineage: Eukaryota; Viridiplantae; Streptophyta; Magnoliopsida; Zingiberales; Zingiberaceae
Exons: 2
Source: RefSeq, a predicted model, not a curated record